RNAcentral lists this ribosomal RNA (253 nucleotides) under uncultured bacterium. RNAcentral describes it as "partial 16S ribosomal RNA". It matches the Rfam family "Bacterial small subunit ribosomal RNA", at positions 524 to 776 of the family's 1533-position model. The record is from RNAcentral.
UACGUAGGUGGCAAGCGUUAUCCGGAUUUACUGGGUGUAAAGGGCGUGUAGGCGGGACUGCAAGUCAGAUGUGAAAACCACGGGCUCAACCUGUGGCCUGCAUUUGAAACUGUAGUUCUUGAGUACUGGAGAGGCAGACGGAAUUCCUAGUGUAGCGGUGAAAUGCGUAGAUAUUAGGAGGAACACCAGUGGCGAAGGCGGCCUACUGGACGGUGACUGACGCUGAGGCUCGAAAGCGUGGGGAGCAAACAGG